AGAGUUUGAUCCUGGCUCAGAUUGAACGCUGGCGGCAGGCCUAACACAUGCAAGUCGAGCGGCAGCGGGAAAGUAGCUUGCUACUUUUGCCGGCGAGCGGCGGACGGGUGAGUAAUGCCUGGGAAAUUGCCCAGUCGAGGGGGAUAACAGUUGGAAACGACUGCUAAUACCGCAUACGCCCUACGGGGGAAAGCAGGGGACCUUCGGGCCUUGCGCGAUUGGAUAUGCCCAGGUGGGAUUAGCUAGUUGGUGAGGUAAUGGCUCACCAAGGCGACGAUCCCUAGCUGGUCUGAGAGGAUGAUCAGCCACACUGGAACUGAGACACGGUCCAGACUCCUACGGGAGGCAGCAGUGGGGAAUAUUGCACAAUGGGAGAAACCCUGAUGCAGCCAUGCCGCGUG
This 401-nucleotide ribosomal RNA is filed under the name uncultured bacterium. Its description in RNAcentral is "bacterial SSU rRNA". It matches the Rfam family "Bacterial small subunit ribosomal RNA", at positions 8 to 403 of the family's 1533-position model. The record is from RNAcentral.